This 468-nucleotide ribosomal RNA is filed under the name uncultured Sphingobacteriales bacterium. RNAcentral describes it as "bacterial SSU rRNA". It matches the Rfam family "Bacterial small subunit ribosomal RNA", at positions 917 to 1381 of the family's 1533-position model. The record is from RNAcentral. Lineage: Bacteria; Pseudomonadati; Bacteroidota; Sphingobacteriia; Sphingobacteriales.
GACGGGGCCGCACAAGCGAGGAGCAUGUGGUUUAAUUCGAUGAUACGCGUAGGAACCUUACCUGGGCUCGAACGUAAGAUGACUGUAGGUGAAAGCUUACAUCUCUUCGGAGCAUUUUACGAGGUGCUGCAUGGUUGUCGUCAGCUCGUGCCGUGAGGUGUCGGGUUAAGUCCCAUAACGAGCGCAACCCCUACCUUUAGUUGCCAUCAGGUUAAGCUGGGGACUCUAAAGGAACUGCCUACGCAAGUAGUGAGGAAGGCGGGGAUGACGUCAAAUCAGCACGGCCCUUACGUCCAGGGCUACACACGUGCUACAAUGGCCGAUACAGAGGGCAGCUACCUGGCGACAGGAUGCAAAUCUCCAAAGUCGGUCUCAGUUCGGAUCGGAGUCUGCAACCCGACUCCGUGAAGUUGGAUUCGCUAGUAAUCGCGCAUCAGCCAUGGCGCGGUGAAUACGUUCCCGGGCCUU